GUAACUCUAUCUGAUAGCCUUGUGGAAUCAGCUAUACUAUAGUACUCUACGUUGCUAAGCACCACUAUAAAUAAUAUUAUAAGUGCCAAACUGGAAUUAUGGUUUUUUCUUGUUCUAUUUGUGCGCCACUGAAAAUCUUUAACGGCGCUGUAAUUAGAAGAAAGACGGUAUAGUAAGUGUGUUUGUUUGUGUGUGUAUUUUCACUUGGAUGCCAUUGCACUGCGUUUACAGCUAGCUAGGAUAGAUAGCCUCAGCAAAAAAAGUUAUUUGUUUUGACAGAUUUUCAAAUGGUAAAAAGCUUAGUUGGGUAAAAGCUAAGAAGUAUAAAUUAAACCUUGUACACACAUGCAUUGAAGCUAGCUAAAUACAGUUUCAUUUUAAAGCUUGAUACAUCAAAUGCGCACUAUACAGCCACGCUUGAGUUCUGGCUUCUUUACUGUGAGACUACUCUGGUCCCGGUGAAUGUCCGGAGCGCUAUAGCUAUUCGUUAACACAUAAAGCUUAGUUCCAUUGUAUGCAUGUCUGACCAAGAACCACUGCCGUUUUCGACUGUACUUGUCAUAGCGUACGUUGCACUAUUAUUGUAUAGAUGCAGUAAGCGGUCAAUAUAAGUUCCGUUUAUGUAGUACGCCAGUACGUUUACACUGUAUUAAAAGCGUUGCAAUUUACCGUUGCACGUUGCAAGUAUACAUUUUGCAAAAAAACAAACAAAGAGACAAUCCUAGUCACCUCGAGUAUCGUAGCUAGACUAGUUACUUAGCUAUAUGCUGUACAUACUUGAUGCUAUAUGUUUCAAUAUAAAAUUAUAUUGUACAUUGUACAUUUAUAAUUAUUAUACAUACUAGAUCUACUGCUUUUCACAUGUACAUUGUAGUUGUGAGACGCCAACUGCCCAGAGGGAAACCACGCCAUUCGCAAAAAUAUGCCUAAUUCCCUCUCACAUCUAAAGUUCUUUCAAAAUGGUGGUCGUACUUUUUUGAAGGAUGAUGUUGAAAGUGACAUGUGUUGGAGAGAGCAUUAUACUGGACACCCUUGUAUGACCAGACCACUGUAAAGUAUCGACACAAUUGGAGACUAGUGAAUGCUAUCAGUGGAGAGGGGGGUGGAACAACCUUAUUAUUAUACCUUAUGAAUAAACGUUAGUGAUGUCUUAUUUCGCCCCAUAAUAACAUUGCAAUGCUGUGAAUAACCCCACCUCCUGUCAACAGACUAGUGAAUGCUAUCAGUGGAGAGGGGGGUGGAACAACCUUAUUUUGUUCAUGCUAUGACUGAUGUUAUGUACCUAAUCUAUACGCACUUUAAUUAUUCUUAUAUUUGGUUAUAAUUCUACUGGCUUUAUGUGACAUAUUUUUCUACUUCACGC
Molecule: long non-coding RNA, 1363 nt
Organism: Halichondria panicea
Lineage: Eukaryota; Metazoa; Porifera; Demospongiae; Suberitida; Halichondriidae
Exons: 3
Source: RefSeq, a predicted model, not a curated record